GAAAGUGUUGAUGUACCUCAACAACGGGGAAGCUUGGAUUGCGGGGUGUUCUUGAUGGCGUACAUGUUUAGCCUCAUAUCCGGUCAACCAAUUGCAAUUGACCAAAAGGAUUGUGCAAGACAUAGAGCUCGUAUUGUUGCUCUAUUUCUAUUUGAAGGAAAUCAACCAACAUGAUCCUCAAGACCAAUUCCCCGGUUGCUACAUGCCAAUUGUGAUAUCCAAUAUUUUUU
Molecule: long non-coding RNA, 230 nt
Organism: Asparagus officinalis (garden asparagus)
Lineage: Eukaryota; Viridiplantae; Streptophyta; Magnoliopsida; Asparagales; Asparagaceae
Exons: 3
Source: RefSeq, a predicted model, not a curated record